RNAcentral lists this long non-coding RNA (332 nucleotides) under Trifolium pratense (red clover). RNAcentral describes it as "long non-coding RNA (TPRA_LNC000505)". Lineage: Eukaryota; Viridiplantae; Streptophyta; Magnoliopsida; Fabales; Fabaceae. The record is from RNAcentral.
GUAGAGUGAUUGAAAUGUUAGAAUGCAACAUGAAUUCAUUGAAAAUACCACCAAAACCUGUUCUUUCGUCUCCUACUAGAUCAGUACCAAAAUCUCCAGCUUCAUGAAAUUUUUGGGGUAACUUUUCCACACUGCAUUAUGCAUACUACUCACUGAAACUAAGAAGGAAAAAAUGAGCUGGAAAAAAUGGGUAAGUUUUCCCAUUUUCCACACAAUUAAACUUAUUAGUUUCUCCACAAAACAUUUAUUUGUUCUUAUAAGGUUGUUAAUAUUUGUAAUUUGGAUUAGUUCUAAUUAGUACUAUUAAUUAUGUCAUAUUUUAUUUUGAGUUA